RNAcentral lists this ribosomal RNA (366 nucleotides) under uncultured organism. RNAcentral's name for it is "bacterial SSU rRNA". It matches the Rfam family "Bacterial small subunit ribosomal RNA", at positions 526 to 896 of the family's 1533-position model. The record is from RNAcentral.
CGGAGGAUCCAAGCGUUAUCCGGAAUCAUUGGGUUUAAAGGGUCCGUAGGCGGGUUUAUAAGUCAGUGGUGAAAGCCCAUCGCUCAACGAUGGAACGGCCAUUGAUACUGUAGAUCUUGAAUUAUUAGGAAGUAACUAGAAUAUGUAGUGUAGCGGUGAAAUGCUUAGAGAUUACAUGGAAUACCAAUUGCGAAGGCAGGUUACUACUAAUGGAUUGACGCUGAUGGACGAAAGCGUGGGUAGCGAACAGGAUUAGAUACCCUGGUAGUCCACGCCGUAAACGAUGGAUACUAGCUGUUGGAAGCAAUUUCAGUGGCUAAGCGAAAGUGAUAAGUAUCCCACCUGGGGAGUACGUUCGCAAGAAUG